CCCGAACCUAUCAUUGAGCGCAUUGUGACCUCACAGUAAUUUUGUGUGUGUUUUAAUACAAAGCCUACCUACAGGAUACCCCAGAUCCUUAAACAAAAACAUAUCACGAAAACACUGACGCUUUGCAUUAUUGCGUAUGCAUGCUACUGAUACUGAAAAUUGCACCAGGUGUGAUGUGACCGUGUGAGGAUUAAACCAACCUGAUUCACUAUUGAACAAUAGUGAAUCACACAUAUGAAUGCAUGCGUUCAUAUGCAUGUGCAUAUGAACAUUGCACAGUGUAAUAUUCAACAUUUCCACAUUCAAUAAUCAUAAAAUAUCUGAUUGACUAAACUACUACGCUACUACGCAUUACAAGUUUUGGUAGCAGGUGGCAGUAUCUGAAACCAAACCUUUCAAACCCGCAAGAACGACACCCUCAUAUCAAUUUGGGGGCAAAGUGGGGUUUUCUCCCGGAGGCCAAGGGAAGCCAUGCUUCCCUGUUUUUUUAGACAUCCAAAACAUUUAUAUUAACAGUUUCGGUUAUUCUUUGGUGCCGUGUUGCUGUCAUUUUUUCCACAUUUUCUCGUCUCAUUGAGCAUUUCAAAAUGCGCCCCUCUAAAUGUUAAAGGCCCACUAUGCAACUUUUUUAGCCAAAAUUACAUUAAGUAUGCAGGUUGAGAGUUAUGCUGAUGGUUCUGCAUCCAUUUCUGGGUCGAUUGGUGGGUGUGUCAUUUACCCAUGUCGCCUCUCCAGUGAAAAAGCGCAUAUGCAACUUGAUCUGUUCGGACCGACACAAUCCGGAUGUGAUGCAGCGGAAGUAUCCUCGAAAAUGUAGUCAGAUUGUAGUUUCGAAAAUGCUUUACGGCACAGACACACACCCAAACAUGGCACCGGCUAGAUAUAAACAGCCAGUUGCGAGGCAAUUGUUGCAUUCAUCAUGGAUCAAUCGACUAAUGAUCAGCCGACUAAAAAGAGACAGAGAACCCCAAUGUCGGAGGAACAGAAGAAGAGAAAAGGGAGACUGA
RNAcentral lists this long non-coding RNA (1007 nucleotides) under Gadus morhua (Atlantic cod). Its description in RNAcentral is "lncRNA (ENSGMOG00000031082.1)". The record is from RNAcentral. Lineage: Eukaryota; Metazoa; Chordata; Actinopteri; Gadiformes; Gadidae.